UGGCUCUCUCAAACUAUGAAUGAGCUAUUCUCUCUACUUCGUGGCACACAACAGAUCUCCUCUACCCAAAUUAUCAAAAUGAACUCCUCUCUUUCAGUCCUAACCCAACAUCAAUCUCUCCUUGAUUAAGUGUUAAUAGAUUUAGGGUUUCUCCAAGAUUGGGGAUUUAGGGUGUUUUUCGAUUAAGUGUUCUGAUCAAGAUUGAGGAUUUAGGGUUUUUUUUUUUUACUACAUUAGGCAGAGGCGACUACCUCGUCUAGUUCUCUUGGCGAUGACCCAGUCCCGGCGAUGACCUCAUCACGUUCUCUCAACAUCACACUAUCAGUCAGUCAAUCUAGAUCUAUCUCUCUCUGGGUGAGCUCAACGAUCCUGAGAAUGCUAUAAUUGAAGCUUUUGCAGGUCUAUUUGAUACUUGACUAAUUCCGUCUUGCUGGAGAACUCCAGGAAACAAACAAGAAGUGAGAUAGAAGAACAAAUCUUGUUUACACAGAACAGGAUAUUGAUGAAGUUUGAGCUGAAUGGGCGAAGCAUGUUUUGAAGUUUCCACAAAUGUAGUGCUUGGUAUAUGCAUAGUUAGGGUCGACUGUAAUUUUGUGCAUAUUGACAUUGCAUGCAUAGCUAGAUUAUGGAGGGUUUUUUUGCCUAGCUAAGAUGAUCGACUUUUGCCUUUAUCGAUCAUUAUUUUAACCUCCUAACAGCUUAUCAACUUUAGGAUGAAUUGAUGGAAAUGUUGAAUGUUGAUGUAGUUACUGGUUGAUUGAAAUGAAAUGACUUUUGACUUGUUAUAGUUAGAUGUUGUUAUUGU
This 805-nucleotide long non-coding RNA is filed under the name Rosa chinensis. Its description in RNAcentral is "sRNA RchiOBHm_Chr6g0250111". The record is from RNAcentral. Lineage: Eukaryota; Viridiplantae; Streptophyta; Magnoliopsida; Rosales; Rosaceae.